RNAcentral lists this ribosomal RNA (815 nucleotides) under uncultured Yarrowia. RNAcentral describes it as "LSU rRNA". It matches the Rfam family "Eukaryotic large subunit ribosomal RNA", at positions 39 to 961 of the family's 3401-position model. The record is from RNAcentral. Lineage: Eukaryota; Fungi; Ascomycota; Dipodascomycetes; Dipodascales; Dipodascaceae.
CAUAUCAAUAAGCGGAGGAAAAGAAACCAACAGGGAUUGCCUCAGUAACGGCGAGUGAAGCGGCAAAAGCUCAAAUUUGAAACCCUCGGGAUUGUAAUUUGAAGAUUUGGCAUUGGAGAAAGCUAACCCAAGUUACUUGGAAUAGUACGUCAUAGAGGGUGACAACCCCGUCUGGCUAACCGUUCUCCAUGUAUUGCCUUAUCAAAGAGUCGAGUUGUUUGGGAAUGCAGCUCAAAGUGGGUGGUAAACUCCAUCUAAAGCUAAAUACUGGUGAGAGACCGAUAGCGAACAAGUACUGUGAAGGAAAGGUGAAAAGAACUUUGAAAAGAGAGUGAAAUAGUAUGUGAAAUUGUUGAUAGGGAAGGAAAUGAGCGGAGAGUGGUUGAGGUUUCAGCUGUCCUUUGGGACGGUGUAUUGCCAAUGCCGAGUCAUUGUCCGCGAGACGGGGGUUAUAAACGGGUUGCAUUCUUGCUUCUCACCUAACCCCCCCACUGCAGUCAACGACAUAAUCCGCCCAUUUCACCCGUCUUGAAACACGGACCAAGGAGUCUAAUGGAUAUGUGAGUGUUAGGGUGCCAAACCCCAACGCGCAAUGAAAGUGAAUGAUUCGUUCAGAAUCGACCGAACUUGAUUUUUAUGACAGUUUUGAGUAAACACAUCCAUUGGGACCCGAAAGAUGGUGAACUAUGCCUGAAUAGGGUGAAGUCAGAGGAAACUCUGAUGGAGGCUCGUAGCGGUUCUGACGUGCAAAUCGAUCGUAGAAUUUGGGUAUAGGGGCGAAAGACUAAUCGAACCAUCUAGUAGCUGGUUCCUGC